Molecule: long non-coding RNA, 707 nt
Filed under: Homo sapiens (human)
Lineage: Eukaryota; Metazoa; Chordata; Mammalia; Primates; Hominidae
Description: HSALNT0353819
Source: RNAcentral
UUGUACUUGACAUGACACUUAAACUCAUUCAAAGACACACUGAAUUACAUCACCACAAUCUAAUUUUAGAACAUUUUCAAUGCCCCCCAAAGAAACUCUCUGCAGGCCUGGGCAACAUAACAAUCUCUCUAUGGAUUGGCCUAUUCUGACAUUUCACAUCAGUCAUCUGUUGCUUAAUGACAGACACACAUUUGGAGAAAUGUGUCAUUAGGCAAUUUUCUUCAUGUGUACACAUCAAAGAGUGUCCUUACACAAACCUAAAUGGGACAACCUACUGCAGACCUAGGCUGUAUGACAGAACCUAUUGCUCCUCGGCUACAAACCUGUACAGCAUGCAACUCUACUCAACACUGUAAGAAACUGUAACACAGUGGUGAUUGUCUUAAUGUGGGUUUCCCCAGAAGUGGCCCUGAGGAAGGACUUGAGUGCAAGUAGCUUCCUGAGAAGUGGCGAGUGGAAAAAUGCAGCAGGGAAGUGGAGAAGAGAGAAGCGGAAGGGAAGACAGUUGCUAAAGCUGCAUUAUCACAAAAGCCACCCCUGUGGAAAACUGGAGCUCGGUUCCACUGGGGAACUCAUGGAGCCAGGGAAUGGGCUUUCCUCGUUCCCUUGGAGGAGACUGCGUGGGUUUCUAGACUAUACUAAGGUGAUUCUGAUGAACAGCAGCCUUGGAAACGACUGCCUUAGGGGACUUGCUGCUAUAAAUAAAG